CAUGGAGGGUGAGAAUCCCGUUCGGUUGAUCAUUUGCGUUUUACGAUACGCUCUCUAAGAGUCAAGUUGUUUGGGAUUGCAGCUUAAAAUGGGAGGUAAAUUUCUCCUAAGGCUAAAUAACGGCGAGAGACCGAUAGUGAACAAGUACCGUGAGGGAAAGAUGAAAAGAACUUUGAAAAGAGAGUUAAACAGUACGUGAAAUUGUUGAAAGGGAAACGAUUGAAGCCAGUCGUACCUUCGGGUAAUCAGCCUUUCGGGUGCGAUUCUGUGGGGUUUGAGGAGCUUAACACCUUCAUGCUUUGCAUAUUCGUGCUCUUGGGUGUACUUGCCCGUGUGGUUGGUUAACAUCAAUUUUGGUGGUCAUAAAAUGACUGGAGGAAUGUAGCUUCGAUCUCGUAUUGAAGUGUUAUAGCCUUCGGUAGAUGUGAUGAUCGAGAUUGAGGAUUGCAACGGAUACCCUUCGGGGCUACCUGUCUGGUCUCUGAUCGUUGCUUUGGUGCCGAAAGCUUGCUUACGGUUAUCAAAGUCGAUGGUCAAUAGGUUAGAACGGGUUAAAUUCGUUAAGGAUGUUGACGUAAUGG
This 581-nucleotide ribosomal RNA is filed under the name uncultured Rhizophagus. RNAcentral describes it as "LSU rRNA". It matches the Rfam family "Eukaryotic large subunit ribosomal RNA", at positions 204 to 637 of the family's 3401-position model. The record is from RNAcentral. Lineage: Eukaryota; Fungi; Glomeromycota; Glomeromycetes; Glomerales; Glomeraceae.